CAAAAAUGGAAUAGACGGCUUCAUUACAGAUUAUCCGGAAGAGUAUCAGUGCAGAAUGGACGGACAAACUAUUGACUUUGAACCGGAAAAGGUCUCCACAACCCCAGUAGGAAAUCAGGCGACGGAUAAAGACAGUGAACAAAGAAGUAUUUCCAGUUUUAAAUCAAUAGGGAAUUAUACAACUGAUACAAUCAAUGGAUGUACAAGUCAUUCUCUUACAGCAAUAGCCCUUAUGCUGUCACUGAUAAUUUCUUACAAUGUGCAAUAUUUCAUAGAAAGCGGAUUCGUUUUUCUACCUAGUUGAAAAGUAACAUUCUUCCAUAGAAGAAUAGUGAAGGAAUCCCCAACCUUUUGGUGAUCACUGAAGUAACAAUACAUUGUUAGCGAUCGCCAUUAUCUUCUACAUGGAGUGUGCCUGCAUGAGUUACAAUCUCUCGAGUCGACUAUGUGAUACAAAUAUCAAUGUUUUAUACUGUAAUGGAAAUUAGGACGUUAUUUCAUAAGUUCACUGUGUGUUCUGAACACUUUUCUUUUAAUGAAAAGUCAUCACUUCAUUAUCGGAAGACAAUUCUUUUCUUCAGCGAUUUGAACUUAUUUUUACACUACGUCUCUUUUUUCAUGAUUUCCAGAAUGUUAGAAGUUCACUACAUCUUAAAAUGUAUAUGUUCAGUUUCAAGUCAGAUAACUACCUGCAAGAUCAUUACAUUUCCGAUAUCAAAAUGAAUUCGACAAAACAUUGUCUCUCUCACUUGUUUAAAGACCGAAAAUCUAAUGCAUGUGUUAAUACUAAUAAAAUGGCUGUAGCUCAAUCUUUACCAUCAUUAAAUAAAAAUGAAAUAAAUAUUCACCAUUACUUUCCAAAUUCAUGAAGAGUUUGUUUCAUCUAAGACCAUAUUUGCCAAGGUAAGGACUU
This is a long non-coding RNA of Saccostrea echinata, 913 nucleotides long. RefSeq lists it as uncharacterized. The record is from RefSeq and is a predicted model, not a curated record. Lineage: Eukaryota; Metazoa; Mollusca; Bivalvia; Ostreida; Ostreidae. The transcript is spliced from 3 exons.